Non-coding RNA from Podarcis lilfordi (Lilford's wall lizard), 72 nucleotides. Lineage: Eukaryota; Metazoa; Chordata; Lepidosauria; Squamata; Lacertidae. The record is from the annotation of a GenBank genome assembly.
AGGGCUGUGGCUCAGUGGUAGAACAUCUGCCUUGCAUGCAGAAGGUCCCAGGUUCAAAGCCCGGCAUUUCCA